UUGGAUGUGUGGACCAAGUAUUCACAUGUGUGUUAAGACACCCAGACUGCACUCCGCUCAGCAGACCCGCAGACACUGGGCACUCAGCCCUCAGUAGGCGACAGCCAGCGAGGACCUUACAGCGUUUAUCAGCAAGAUCAGCAUGUUGCUUUUUUACAAAUUUUGAGGACCAGUGCUUUUAACAGGAAGGCUGUGACACAUUCCCCAAAUUAACAGUCAAGGAACCAUAAAAAUCAUCGACUCGCAAAAAUACUGCCCCCUUCUUUGGAAAGACUCACGCGCACUCCUGCUCGUGCCUCAGCCCCUCUCCACCGUCUCCUCUGCCACGGCCGCCGGCAUCAGUGGAGGAGACCGUCCCCUCUUGGGGUCCUCAUGGUGCCCUUGGAUUUUCCUUCUGUCAUUUCAGAGGCUUGCUUUGAGCACCCAGCUCAUGGGGGGAAACCCCUCAACCUUGGGAGAGGCUGUUACUACUGACCCCUCUCUGGGAUGUUCAAGUGACUCAGGAGGUGGCCUCUGUCUUCCCCAGCUGCCUGUGCGUCUGGAUUCUUCCCUCCAUCCACAGCCUCUUUACUGGCCUCCGUGUCCCCAGGGACACAACAGUAUGGACAUUAGGCCAACUGACAGCCCUAGGACGGCCUCCUAGGGUUCAAGUGAAAGGAAGGGCUGCUCGUCUCUCACAUGGAAUCAGCAGCUAGAAAUGAUUAAGCUGAGUGAGGAGGCGUAUCAAGAGGUGAGACAGGCCGAAAGCUAGGCCUCUGGUGCCAAACAGCCAAAGUAUAAAUGUCAGGAGGAAGUUCUUGAUGGAAAUUAGAAGCGCUGCUACAGGGAACUCACAGAUAAGACAGUGACACUGCCUUGCUGCCGAUCUGGAGAAAGUUUAAUGGUCUGGAUAGAAGAUGAAACCAGCCCCAACACUCCCUCAGGCCCCAACUCCCUUCAGGUCUGUGAAGGCCCAGGAAGCUGCAGAAGAAAAUCAUGAAGCCAGCAGAGAGUGGUUCAGGAGAUGAAGGAAAGAUGCCGUUUCAUAACAUGGAGGGGCCAGGGGAAGCAGCAAGCUGUCCCCAGGAGCUAGCCAAGAUCAUUCACAAAGGUGGCCACCCUACCCAGAAUCACAGCGGAGAUGAGACAGCUUUCUGCGGGAAGACGACGCCAUCUCGGACUUCAUAGCUAUGGAGAAGUCACUGCCUGGCUUCAGUUCAAAGGAGAGACCCACUCCUGUUAGGGGCUAAUUCAGCUGGUGACUUUCCAUUGGAGCCAGUGCUCAUUUACUUUUCCCAAAGUCCUAGGGUUCUUAAGAAUUUUGCUAAGUCUACUCUGCCUCUGCUCUAUAAAUGAAAUAACAAGUCUAGAUGACAGCACAUCUGUUUACAACAUACUCGACUAGAUAUUUUAAGCUCACUGUUGAGACCUACUGCUCAGAAAAAAAAAAAAAGAAGUUCCUUUCAGAAUGUUCCUGCUCAUUGACAAUGCACCUGGCCGCCCAAGAGCUGUGAUGGAGACG
RNAcentral lists this long non-coding RNA (1501 nucleotides) under Sus scrofa (pig). RNAcentral describes it as "lncRNA (ENSSSCG00005030808.1)". Lineage: Eukaryota; Metazoa; Chordata; Mammalia; Artiodactyla; Suidae. The record is from RNAcentral.